Molecule: long non-coding RNA, 23955 nt
Filed under: Citrus x clementina
Lineage: Eukaryota; Viridiplantae; Streptophyta; Magnoliopsida; Sapindales; Rutaceae
Description: Citrus clementina (C. clementina) long non-coding RNA (CCLE_LNC000175)
Source: RNAcentral
CUGGCUAGUGCUGGGCAGAAGGUUGUUGUAAUUGAGAAAGGGAACUACUUCACUCCCAAGGAUUAUUCUCUCCUUGAAGGUCCUUCAUUUGAGCAACUAUAUGAAUCCGGAGGGAUCCUUCCAACUACUGAUGCGAACAUGACGAUUCUGGCAGGAUCAACUAUUGGUGGCGGCUCAGCUAUCAAUUGGUCGGCCUGCAUCAAGACACCCAAGUCCUUGCUUCAGGAAUGGGCAGGGGACUAUAAGCUCCCACUCUUUGGUAGCCCUGACUAUCUUUCGGCAAUGGAUAUCGUGUGGGAGAGGAUUGGUGUUACGGAGAAUUGUGUACAAGAGGGGUUCCAGAAUCAAGUACUUCGAAAAGGAUGUAAAAAUCUUGGCCUUGAUGUUGAAAGGAUACCGAGAAAUUCCUCAGAGAAUCAUUACUGUGGAUCCUGCGGUCAUGGCUGUAAAAGCGGAGACAAAAAGGGGACUGAUAGUACCUGGCUUGUUGAUGCCGUAAACCAUGGUGCAGUCAUUUUAACGGGAUGCAAAGCCGAGAGAUUCAUAAUUGAGAAGAGCGAUAAUGGAAGCACAAGGACAAUGAAAUGCUCGGGAGUGAUAGCAAAAGCUUUGAAUAACGACAUCAGAAUGAAGUUUCAGAUCGAAACAAAAGCAACAAUCUCAGCAUGUGGGGCUCUAUUGACUCCCCCUUUGAUGAUCUCUAGUGGAUUGAAGAAUCAGCACAUUGGCAAGAAUCUUCACCUUCAUCCUGUUCUGAUGGCCUGGGGAUACUUUCCAGACUCAAACUUAGAGUUCAAAGGAAAAAACUAUGAGGGUGGAAUAAUCACAUCGGCCCACAAGGUGGUUUCAGCAGAUUCCGAAGUGAGAGCCCUCAUCGAAACUCCUGAAUUUUCACCUGCAAAAUUUUCUGUAUUUUGUCCUUGGUUGUCCGGAAUUGACUUUAAGCAAACCAUGUUGAAGUAUUCAAGAACCGCACAUUUGAUAACAAUAAUCAGGGAUCGCGGAUCUGGAGAAGUUAAAGUAGAGGGAAGGAUAAGCCAUAAAUUAGAUCAAUUGGACAAAGAAAAUUUGAAAGCCGGAUUGAGGCAGGCUUUGAGGAUUUUAAUAGCAGCAGGAGCCGUUGAAGUUGGCACUCAUCGGAGUGAUGGGCAGCGACUCAAAUGUGAAGGAAUUACCGAAAAGGAAGUGGAGCAGUUUCUGGACACAGUUUAUGCAGCAGAAGGGCCAAAGUCACCGGUGGAGAACUGGAUGGUCUAUGCUACCGCCCAUCAAAUGGGAAGCUGUAGGAUGGGCGUUAAUGAAAAAGAGGGCGGGGUUGACGAGAACGGGCAGAGUUGGGAAGCAGAAGGCCUAUAUGUUUGCGAUGCUAGUGUUCUUCCAAGCGCUGUUGGUGUCAAUCCUAUGAUCACAAUCCAGUCUACUGCUUACUGUCUCUCAAAGAGAAUAGCGGAAUCCUUGAGAGAACAGUCCUCAUAAGGUUUACUGAUUCUCUAUAUUGCUUUUCACUCAUGCUGGUGAGUGAAGGACUUCGGUUGUUUCAGUCUUCAUAUGUCCAAAUGGUAUCAGCAGUUAUAUUUGGAAAUUGUAAUGACAUGGAUUGAGUAAAAUUCGGGCAUUCUUCAGGUGAAAAAAACAAUAUCUAUUACUGUUAUGAGAUUUGAUACAUAGAUGUUUGUUGUCUUAGAAAUAAUGCAUUUUGGGAUUCUUUAAAUUUACCUAUGAAUCUCAUGAAUGAGACAAAUAGAGUUUAAGAAAGUUACCAUGCAAAAGAGUUUAUCGUCUACAAACAAAAUUCGGCGGAGUGUGCAAUUUGAUUCUGGGGAACUUGCCAUAUGUCAAGCUUAACAGAAGCCGAUGGUGAAAAUACCAGCCAGCUCAUGAAAAAUUUGGCUUACUCUCUCUAUCUCUACACUCAGAGAUACAAUGACCGGACGUGGUACUGUUUACUCAGCUUGAGUGUCUGCAUUGCUGAUGGAAUCUGUAACAGACUAAAAUAAACCUCGGGCCGACACGCCACGUCAUCACAUCCAUUACCGAUUUAACAGAUUUCAUUCAAUACCGGGUUUUAUUUCUUUAUUUGAUUUUCAGUCCUCAGAUUUUUUUUUUCAUUUUUAUUUAACUUUCUUUGUGGUGGGAAAAGUCGUUAUGGUAUCAAAUCCCAACUGUAUUGAACAACCGCUAUCAACCAAGUUUAGUUCAGAUUUAUUUGUUAUUAGUAUUUUUGUUAAUGUAUGCUAAGAAUUGUCUUUGUUCGUUAGCAUUGUCUAUAGAUAUUUUAGUGAUCUGUCCAUGUGUUUGCUCUAUUAGGGAUGUGUUAACACUUGGAGCUUGACAAUUGGCAAAUUGAGUUGGAACUGUGAUCAAUGAAUGAUAAGGAUUUUCUUCCACAUUGUUGUAAUAAAAUGCGGAUCCUUCUUGCCUUAAGUAGCAUACGCCAUUGAACAGUGGUAACAUGUAACCACAUCACAGUCUCCACCCAAGCUAUUCUUAGAGCUACAUUCAAGGCCUAUAAUCGAAUUUCUCAAUGUGUUAGGAUAAGUUUUCAAAUGUUUGACGAGAAUGCCAUGAUUAACUCUGGGAAAAUUGACAAAGGACUCACGAUGGAAAUGUAGUAGAUGCUUUUGUUCCUCAGAAUCAAGUCAUCUCUAAGCCAAGGGUUCCUCGAAUUUGGGUUCAAGAAUCCCCAAUCCUUGACAAAAUCUCAGUAUAAUUGAUAAAUAGUGGCCACCACAGAAGUCCCCAAGACUAUGCCAAACCACAGGUAGUUGCUUUGCCUAGUGUAUGUCAAUCUGGCGCCGGCUGCCACCAUGGCUGAAACAUACUUCCCCAUUUUAGCCAAAUGGUUUGUGUCUUAUUCAUCAAACCAUCGCCUUGCACACUGAGAGUCAAAUUAUAGAAUGUUAGAUUUUAUGGUGUGUCCGCGGAAGUCAAUAAAGAAAUUAACUACUAGGUGUAUGAGUUUACCUGCAUUGCACGCCAAUAAUAUGGCAAAAAUGAGAUGACAUAAGCAAGCUCCCUGUAUAGUCUUCCAUUCUUGCAGGUGUCAUAAUGAUGUGUUUUGAAACUUCCCGCUAGAACAUAACAGGCUGCCGAUUCUAAGUGUCUCAAUAAUGGAAUCCGAAAAUGAGAAACAAUUGUUGAUGAUCACAGAAGAAAUAUACAGUCAGCUGAUUAUGUAAUUGAGAAAACUUCAUGCCUUGUUUCACAAGCAAGUUUCGAUACUUUAUGUUCGAAACUGGCAUUACCCCCUAGCAUGUGUUUGAUAGAUAAAAUUUUAACGCCGAUUGCUGGUUAGAGUGAUUACCUGACCAGUAAGUUGGUCAGCCAUGAAAAAGUCUACCAUCAAAACCUGCAUUCAUCGAAGAUGAUGUUAUCUGUGGUUGCUUUUAGAUACACAUAUGCAAUCCAUCUCCGUAAUGAAGAAGUGAAAGUAGGUAAACAUACCUUAUAAAAUGGUGAGCAGAUUAUGUUACAAAUUUUGCGAAGGAAGCAGUAGUGAGUUGGGCGAUAAAAGAUGUCAAAAGGACAUAUGAGCAGACAAAUUCAAAUCUAGAGAUGUAUAAGAGUGUAUUAGUAAUUUAGCAUGUACCAUGGUACUUUUUGCUACUAUCAUAUGUCAACAAAUUCACAUACACUAAAGUAUUUCUUGCAAUUAUGCAAUAAUGGAGCUAACCAGAAGGAGGAUUCCAGUCUGGCAUCAAUUUUGCCAGGCGAAAAGCUGCUAGCUCAUAGGAGGAGGUGCACAACCAUUGCUAUAACAACAACAGUCAUGAAAGUGGUGCAAAUGAGAAAUGCAUCUUUGUACUUUUUUUUUUUUUUUGAAACUGAUUAAGCAUCAGGUUACUGCAUUACACAGAUAUAUAUACAACUGCUAUGACAGCAGGUCAUUACACUGAUAUUUACAAUCAGAUAUAUAUACAUGGGACUUAUAUUAUUACAUUUUUAUUCUAUGAAGUACAUGUCCAUCCCAAAUACCCCUCACGGAGGAGGGAUGUCUCUACUCCACUCGCAUUUCGCAAGGGAGAAAGACGUUUAUAGAAAUCUCCACACAAUUAUGUUUAAUUGGAGGAGGUUGAGUCCGUGGGGACUCAAACCAUUGCCCUCAUAGUCAUGCUUAACUUUGAGGGCAAUGGUCCACCACUGGGCUACAAGCCCAAGUGGCAAAUGCAUCUUUGUACUUGAGUGCAGUGUUGGGUGAAAAUUCAAAUAUGAAUUUGUAGUUGAUCCUUGUGCUCUUCCACAUGAACAAGUUACACCCAUACAUAAACAAGUGCAAGCACAAUAAUGCAAACACACCGCACAACAAAAAUAAAAUUUCCUUGAGUUCUAACUCCAUGCAUAUCAAACCCAUCAAGGAUGGAUGCAAAUGGGCCCAAGCCCACCAAAGUCAUUGAUUGGACUCUGGCUCAUAUGGUAGCACCCAAUUUCUUGGCUUUUUUUUUUAUCACUUUUAAGUGCAUGUUGUGCAUUGUUCUGUGUUAAAAUGUGCACCUGAAAACAAGAUAAACAAUUUCCAUGUAAGCAGCUUCAGUGUUGGCGGAAAAUAUGCCAGACAAGUGAGCCAGAAUUGCGUAUGCACAAAAUAAUGAUACAAAACAACCUGUAAAAUGCCCUGCAACAAUGACAACAAAAAGAAACUCAAAUCACUCAAAUCAUCCAUGGCAAUAAAUUCUCCGAAGCAUCUGCCUCAAACAUAUGGUGGGGAAUCAAAUAUAUGCACUAUUUUCUCAUUGUAACCCAAAUUAAAUUUUUUUCCGCUAGUGGGAUUAGUGCUAGCUGCUAGCCAGAUUUUGUGUGGGAUUGAAAAUUCCAGUGCUACUUUGCAUUAUCUUAUAGUAUAUGCAUACUAAAACUUUAAGCUAUAACAGUAACCAUGUGCAUUUGUAAGUAUGACAAGGAUUUUUUAUGGUUGACAAUCCUUAUUUUUCUUGGGGUUCGGUACCUUGUAGGAGUCGUAUUUUUCCAUUCGGUGCAACACCACGAUGUAGAUAACAUAUAUUUGACAAUAGAAUAACUCAAUAUUUUGACAUUUACGAGAAAUCUUUUCGAGAUAUGAUAAUUUGUUCCAUCGGAUAAAUGCUCAUGAAAUGAUUACUUGUAGUUCCUACCUAGUUGCUGCGAAUAUUUCAUUCACCCUAUACGUAUCUACAUUCACCUUCGCAAGCCAAUUUGUUAGAUAAACUUGUGGGACCUCCUGCUUGGACUGAUAUAAGUAAGUGAGUUAGACUGUCAUUUAUAAUUGAAUUCUCACUUAACUCUUUUUUUUAAACUCAAAUUACAGGCCUGUAGCGGUCACUCUUGUUAAGGCUGCUUAUUGUGGAGAAUAUACUGAGGCUAAAUAGAACAAGUUUAAGAAACAAAACCAUGUCAGCAAAGAUUGUUAAGGAAAACAGAACUUCAGUUGACAGCUCAGCAUAAGUUGUUGAAAGUUUGUUAUUAGUCAUAUGUGUGUAAUAAAAUAAUUAGUUUUAAGUAAUAAGUAAUUGAAGUUUGUUACAGAUGGUUACAUAAAUGUGUAUGUAUAAAUACAUGUGUGUAUUGAUUCAAUAAGUCAAGAAGAUUAUGGAUUUAAUAAAAUUUAUUUUCUCUUUGUGAUUUUCUCUUCAGCCAAACACAUUUGCUUUCACAUGGUAUCAGAGCCAUCAAUGACAAGCUCUAGCACUUUAAUUCCAAUUAAGUCAAUUAAUAAUUCAAAUCAACUGAAUCAAGUAUCACAAGUUUUGUUUACAUUUGCUCUAACUGUCGAGCUUGAUCGAUCUAAUUUCUUACUCUGGCACAAACAAGUUUCAACUUCAAUUAGUGGAAAUCGGCUUGCAGGUUUCAUCUCAGAAGCUCAAACUAUUCUAAAUCAGUAAAUGUCUGUUACAAAUAUUGAUGGAUCUGUUGAAAAGGUUGAAAAUUCAACUUAUAUUAAUUGAAGAGCACAAGAUCAAACUCUUCUUGGCUGGCCACUAUCCACAAUUAGUGAUGCAACUUAGAUAUGAACUAGAUAUUUUGAUAAAAGAAUCCAUGAUUGUUAAAGAGUAUUAUAACAAAAUGAAAUUGCUUGCUAACAAACUUGCUUGUGCUGGUGAUACUAUAACUGAGAAGGAUCUGUUGAUGAGAAUUUUGAAUGGCCUAUGGCUUGGUUAUUUAGAUCUAGCUUCAAUUAUCACAGCUAAUAAAAUGAGAUAUGAUGAUGUAUAUGCAUUAUUAUUGACAAAUGAAGCAAAGAUUAGAACAAAAUCAGAACUCUCAGUCUAUGUUCAAUGCUAAUUACAACAUGAUGAAUACAAAUAACUCACACAUGAGAGGUAACUUUAGGAGAAGUUCUUCUGUUAAUGGACAUUUUGGUCAAUUUGGAGGCAGAAAUUCAAAUCCUAGUAGAGGCAUGAUUUCCAAUUCAUAUUCUAUGAGUUUUUCUACUGGUGGUAGUAACUUUGGUAGUAGAGGUGGUCAUUUUGGUGGAUUUAGCAGAGGUGGUCAUUUUGGUGGAGCUGGCAGAGGUCAAGUUAUGUAAUUUUCUAGACCACAUAUAAAAGACAUGUUUCUUUCUGCUGGAUUUCAAGUUCUAAAAACUAAUGAUUUUAGAGAAGGCAUUUCUAUCUGUCAAAUAUGUUACAAGCAAGGUCACACUGCUGAUGCUUGUUGCCACAUAUAUGAUGACACAUUUACCUUCAUCUAAAUCUUUUGGUAAUGGUCAAAUGUUUGGGCCAAAGACAUCAUAUAUGGCUACCUUUCAACCAUUCUCUAGUUAUCAAUCAUCGUUUGAAGAUUAUUAUGAUAUUCAUAACUCAAAUCAUUACUCUCUUGUCAUCUAUCUAUUAGAGCCUUUCAUUGAUGUUGUUCCUGAAGCUCAUGUUGUAGAUUUUGAGGGUCCUACUGAUGAAAGUUGGUACCUUGACAGUGGCGCUACACAUCACUUAACCAACAAUAUGGCUAAUAUGAAUGUUUGAGAGGAAUUUAAAGGCUUGGAUCAGCUUAUCAUUGGCAAUGGUCAAUGUUUGACUAUUACUCAUAUAGGUGAUGCUUAUUUUAGUUAUAAAGGUUCUAACAUUGCUUAUAAUCAUACAUACAUUGCACUUAGAGAUAUACUGUUGGUUCUUUCCAUUACAAAGAAUUUAUUGAGCAUCUCAAAACUAACAGCUAAUAAUAACCUCUAUGUUGAAUUUGUUGGCAAUGUUUGUUAUGUGAAGGAUUCUCUGAAAGGGAAAGUAUUUCUAUAGGGACUGUUGUGCAAAUUUUAUUGAACUCGCAAGUGCACGAAUCUAUUGUAGAAUAGAUCAAUGGUGACGAGUGUCGAUCCUACGAGGAGGUGGAUUUUAAUUAUAUGUAGAAUUAAUUUUCUAUGAGGGUGGUUGGAUUUGCGGUGAAAGUGAUUUAAACUAUCUUAGAAUUUAAAUUGGAAUGGCAGAAUUAAAUUAAAGUGGAAACUAUUAUAAUUGAAGCGCUUGGGUAUCUGGAUCUGCAUCAACAUGCACCAUGGGCUAAAUAUUCCUUAUUAGUGCCAAUUAAAUCAUGAGGGGGGAAUCCACACCUCAUGAACUACACUCUAAUCAAUAUGGUGCUAAGGGCUUAUUGUGUCAAAUAAUAAUAACCUUGUACUAGGGAGCUGGUGAAACCAGGGCGGUAUCUAGAUAAAAUUAUUAUUAUUUAUCAACGAGAAGUCAAAACAUCCACAAAAACUAGAAGGGAAGAGAAAAUAAAUUUACCAAAUAAAGCCCAUGACACAUGUUGAGACUUCACCUUCAACUCAAGCUUGAAAGAAAAUUAGCUACUCAUAAUUGAAUUAGGGGUAAAAUAGAAAUUUAUUAAAAUACGUAGAAAAUACAAGAUGGAGAAGGAAUUAUAGAAAAUGGAGUUCAAAAAUGAAUUCAUAGAUGCCAAAUUAGGGGGAAGGCCCCCUUUUUACAGAUACAUUCAGUAAAUCAUGGCCAUCGGAUUAAAAACAGUUUGGACGCUCAGGAUUGCGCCACGUCAUCAGUCAACAGUACGUGGUUUGAACAGUGACACGGUUUGACCACGCGGUUUGAACAGUCAACCGGCUUGAACAGUGACGCGGUUUGGUUGAAAAUAAUCUUGUGUAUAUGCAUGUACCAUACGCGCAAUUUUUGGUCCACUAACAUGCUGCCACGUCACCGAUCAACAGUGCAUAAAGAACUUUCUCCAAUGGAAUCGUGACACCUUAUCAGUCAAUGUCACAUCAUCGAUCCGUCUAUGUGAACAGUGUCGUAAAUAGUAAUGUAGACAAUAUUGUACAUGUGAAUAGUACAGUACAUGUGAACAGUGACCUUUUUCCUUUUAUGUUCCUCCUAAGGUUUUCGAUUGUCCUGAGUUCAAAAGUGAUAUCUGUUUUGCUGUCUGAACUCUCGUUCAUUUUAAAAUGACCAUGAUGCCCCUAAAAUAAAUAAAAUACUUAAUUAAAAGAAAGCACACAUAAUUAAAUCACAAGAAGCUUAAAUAUAUAAAAGUAAGGGUGUUAGUAAAGCUUGAAGUGUAAAAUGAUGAUUUUCUUCUUUAUAAAUAUACAUUUUCUAACACUCAACAUGGACUUGCUGAAAAAGAACUAUAAAAGCUGCUUCUAAACUCUUCUCAGUCAACCCGAUUUUCUCAUUCAUCCUUCUUGUGUCAUACCUCUUCCAAUAAGCCUUUGUCAAUGCUUUCUACAUGUUGUCUGAAUUUUCUUGUUCCAACUAUUGUUCAGAAUAAUAAUACAUGUCUUUUUUCUUGUUAUCAAACUAAUGUUUCUUCUUGUACUGAACCAGUUAAUAAAAUAACUCUUUUUCAUAGGAGAUUUGGGCAUCCUCGUACUCAGAUUCUAUUGCAUUUACUCAAGCAUGUUCCUUCCAUUAAUCUUUCCAAUAAAUCAACUAAACAAGCAUUCCAACAUGUUUGUGAAGCUUGUCAACUAGGGAAGAAUCAUAGGUUACAUUUUCUAAUUACUGAAACAAAAACCUCUUAAGUUCUUGAACUCAUUUACACUGAUUUGUGGGGUCCUUCACCUGUUCUUUCUCGAGAUGGCUAUACCUAUUAUAUCAGCUUUGUUGAUGAUUUUAGUAUAUACACAUGGAUCUAUCCUUUAAGUCUUCAAAUUGUUCAAAUUGUAGGUUGAAAAACAAUUUCAAGCUACCAUUAAAAUACUGCAAUCUGACUUGGGGGGAGAAUACAUACCAUUUACUGAUUUCUUGAAUCAACAUGAGAUCAUCUUUAGGCACUCUUGUCCUUAUACACACCAUCAAAAUGGAUUAGUUGAAACAGAGCACAGACAUAUUGUUGAAUUAAAACUCACAUUGCUAGCUCAAGCUAAACUACCCUUUUACAUUUUGGUGGGAUGUUGUUCACACAGCAGUUUAUCAUAUUGAUAGACUGCCAUCUGCAGUCUUGAAGUUUCUUACAUCUUAUGAGAGAUUGUUUAAGCAUAAACUUGACUAUAAUAUACUUAAAUGUUUUGGUUGUGAAUGUUACCCUUACUUGAGAGUACGGGUGUUCGCGGAUCGGAUUUUACGGAUUGGACAUCAAUCCAUAUCCGAUUCAUGAUUUUACGGAUUAUAAUUUUUCAAUCCAAUCCAAUCCACGGAUUGAUAAAAUUCAAUCCAAAUACAAUCCAUACAUCUUCGGAUUGGAUGCGGAUUUGACUCAAUCCAUAUCCAAUCCAUACGUCUGCAGAUCAGAUGUGGAUUUGACUCAAUCCAUAUGCAAUCCACCAUUUUACGCAUUAGUUUUCGAAUUAAAAAUUUUUAGUUCUCUCCAACUAAUGAAAUAAAAAAAUCUAAUAUAAAAAUAAUUUUGCUACCAAUUAAAUUUAAAAUUGAAUAGAAUUUAAAUAAAUUAAUUGUUUAAAUAAAGCUAAAAUAAUACAUUUAAAGUUUCAAAAUAUAACACAUCGAGACUAAGUAUUCAAAUAAAGUUACAAUAAUACGUUCAAAGUUUCAAAAUAUAACACACCAGACUUAAUUGUUCAAAUAAAGUUACAAUAAUACGUUAAUAUAACACCGAAAUUAAUUGUUCAAAUAAAGGCACAAUUAAUUGAAAUGGCAAAGUUUUGGAAACCAAACACAGUCUGAUUCUUCACCAGGGCUGUUGCGCCUGUCGAAAAGUGAUGAUUACGGAGCCAUCCACGAUGGGAACCAGGAGAAGCCAUACGGGUGGAAAUCUUGAAGGUUGUGAUAGUGAAAUUGUUCAACUGGAACCAGCGAAUGUGAAGUGGCUCGAUGGACUUGGGAAAGAAGAUGGCUUGCUCUCGCCGGAAUCGCGCGGCCGAUGUCCUUUAAAUCCGUGUCGAGAAUGUAUCCAACCAGUAUUGAGCGUUGCUAGUGUGUGUGACGGCGGGGAAGCUUAGGGUUUUUUGUUUGCAAAUUGUUGGUGACUUGGCGUUAUAUUACUUUGCUUUUGCUGGUGCGUGUGACUUUGCUUUUAUUUUGUUUUACAAUUUUUACAAGUUAUAUUUGUAUAUUUGAUUAUUUAAUUAUUUUUCAUUUUAUAUUAUUAUUGGGUAAUGGCUAAGAUAUGUUAUAGUGCUUAGUAACUAUGCAAUGUCACAUUUAUAAUUUUUUUAAUUAAAUUUAUAAUAAUUUUUUAAUUAUAUAUAUAUAUUUUGCGAAUUCACGGAUUUCUGCGGAUUUACAGAAGUAAAUCCAUAUCCAAUCCAUCGACUGCAGAUUUUUAACUUUUCAAUCCAUAUCCAAUCCACCAAUCCACGGAUUGGAUUUAUACGAAUCGAAUUUAACGGAUUGGACGGAUUGAGCGGAUCGGAUUAGAUUCUGAACACCCCUACUUAAGAGAUUAUAACAAGCAUAAAUUUGAUUAUCACUUUAGUAAGUGUAUUUUCAUUGGAUAUAGUCCAUCUCAUAAAUAGUAUAAGUGUUUGCAUUCCUCAGGAAGAGUCUAUAUAGUCAGGCAUGUUAUUUUUUAUGAAUUUUUAUUUCCUUAUUCCUCAUAUUCUGUUUUUAAUUCUAAAAAAUCUGAUCCUUAUUCAGCUUAGUCGUUCACUCCUCAUCAAGUAUAUAAUUUGUCCACAAUAUAUGUAUCUUUACUACCUUCUUAUAGCAGCUAUAAUAAUUCUAAUUUGGUAAGCUCCACCAGUAACAGUACUAAUCACUCAGAUAAUCCUGAUCCAGUUAACAAUUCUUCUUCAUCCUCAUAAAUAAACACUUCAUAUAUUGAACCAUCAAAUACUUCAAUACAACAAACCAAUGCACCAAUCCCUGAACUAAACACUCUUUCAUCUUCACAACUACAACCUACUUCAUCUACACCCCUUCAUACUCAACAAAAUACACACCCUAUGACUACCAUAGGCAAAUCUGAUAUAUUCAAGCCUAAAUUGUACACUGCAACACUCAUUCACACAGAACCAGAUUUUAUGUAUGAAGCAUUACAAGAUCCCAAAUGGUUUGAAGCAAUAAGAGAAGAGUAUAAUGCCUUAAUAAAAAAUGACACAUGGUCAUUAGUUCCAAAAACAUCUUAUUAUAAAGUGGUUGGUAACAAGUGGGUGUACAAAGUGAAGUAUAAUACAGAUGGAAGCUUAUCCAAGUACAAAGCCAGGUUGGUAGCCAAGGGCUUUCAGCAGGUUGCAGGGGUAACCUACUUUGAAACAUUCAAUCAUGUAGUCAAACCAGCUACUGUUAGAGUUAUCUUAAGCUUGGCUGUUAUGAAUAAGUGGAAGAUAAGACAAAUUGAUGUGAAUAAUGCCUUUCUCAAUGGAGAUUUUAUGGAAAAUGUCUUUAUGGAUUAAGUAGCAGAUUUCAUUGAUGCUCAAAAACCAUACUAUGUGUGUAAACUUCAUAAAUCUCUUUAUGGACUUAAACAAACUUCAAGAGCUUGGUAUAAUAAAUUGAAAGGAUGUCUGUUGUAGUGGGGUUUCAUAAACUCCAAAGCUGAUUAUUCUUUUUCAUAAAGAAAACCACCUCAGUCAUGAUUAUGGUGUUGAUAUAUGUUGAUGACAUAUUGGUUACAUAACCAAAUAACAUUGAGCUGGAUAAUUUUAUUACUAAGUUCAACACAGUAUCUACAUUAAAAGAUCUGGCAUUCUUUCUUAUUUUCUGGGGAUAUAAGUUUUAUAUGAUACAAGUUGUGUUUAUUUGUGUCAAAGAAAAUACAUCAGGGACCUGUUAUCAAAAGUCCAAAUGCUUGAAUGCAAGGACAUUGAUACACCUAUGAGUACGAGGGUUAAAUUGCAGAAAGAAACUCAUAGAAGUCUUGGACAUUAUGUUGAAGAUCUAACCCACUAUAGAAGUAUAGUUGGUGGAAUGAAGUAUUUAAUAUUGACAAGACUAGAGAUUGCCUUUGUUGUGAAUAAAUUGAGGCAAUAUAUAUCAUCACCUAUAUUGCAGCAUCUUAUGGCAUGUAAACGAGUUUUAAGAUACUUGAAAAGCACUUAAGAUUAUGGUCUUAAAUCUGUUCAAGAUGGAGAUAUAAAACUCAUAGCAUUCACUGAUGUAGACUGGGCUUCUAACUUGGAUGACAGAAAAUCGGUUGGUGCAUAUUGUGUCUACUUAGGCAAUAAUUUAAUAUCCUGAUCAUUUAAAAAGCAAUCAGUUGUUACCAGGUCAAGUGCAGAGAGUGAAUACAGAUCUUUAGCUUCAGUAAGUGCAUAACUCAGUUGGUUACAGUCACUGUUUUCUGAAAUAGGAUUGAGAUGCACAGAAACAUCUACCAUUUGGUGUAAUAACAUUAGUGCUACAGAGUUAGUUCGAAAUCGUGUUUAUCAUUCAAGAACAAAGCAUAUUGAACUUAAUAUGCAUUUUAUCAUAAAUAAGGUAAUUGCUGGUGAGCUUCAUAUUCAUUACAUUUCAAGUAAUGAACAAAUUGCUGACAUUAUGACAAAGCCUCUUUCAUUUGUUCACUUUAAUUAUCUAAGAGUCAAACUCAAUGUCCUUCAGUGUCCCUUGAGUAUGAGUGGGGUUGUUAAGGCUACUCAUUGUGGAGGAUAUACUGAGGCUAAAAAGAACAUGCUUAAGAAGCAAAACCACGUCAGCAUCAGUGAGUCAGCAAAGAUUGUUAAGGAAAUUAGAACUUCAGCUGGUAGCUCAACAUAUGUUGUUGAAAGUUUGUUAGUAGUCAUAUGAAAUGUGUGUAACAAAAUAAUUAGUUUUAAGUAAUAAGUAAUUGAAGUUUGUUAUAGAUCGUUACAUAAAUGUGUAUGUAUAAAUACAUGUGUGUAUUAAUUUAAUAAGUCAAGAAGAUUCUGAAUUCAAUAAAAUUAAUUUUCUCUCUAUGAUUUUCUUUUCAGCCAAACACAGUUGCUUUCAACUUUCACAACUCUCAGAGAACAUGCCUUUAUCAAACAUACCAUAUGAUCUGCCCUAAAAAAUUGUUCAUCUUAUCUUUCUUGCUACGCUUAACGAUGAAACUUAUCUGUCUGUUCGAUUAUAAUCAUCACCAUCAAAGGAACUCCACCAACCAAAAAAUUUAUACACAUUUUGUGUGCUCUGUAUAUUUAGUUAUUGCAAAAUAUGAUCUACUAAACUAUGUUUUGCUAACCAUUCACAUAUGUUCCUAACAUGCUACAAUAUUAUGGAAGUACCACAAUUAUGUAUUUCCAGCUCAUGUUGUCUAUUUCUUAUGUCGACAUUGCAACUUGCAUUUUGAAUCCACUUCUUAACACCUAGAAUUGCAGCAUCUUCUCGAUAUUACAUAUGUGUUCGUGGUAUAUUCAACAUGUCUGCUCCAUUUUUCCCUUCCAUUUACGUUUGCACCUCCAUUUAAUUUACUUCAUGUAUGCUCACUUCCAAUUGAAACGCAGUUCAAUGUGCUGUUAAAUUGAUGGCAUAUACUUGACUAUAUUGUUCUCAUUCCAAUAAAGAUUAUUCUCUAAUCAACAAACCUAUUUCACAGAUGUUGGGCAUUUGGUCGCUUGCGUCUUAACCAACCACCCAAUUUCGUUCAUAUUUGUUAUUUAAAGCACUGCCUUUGGUGAUAGCCAUAUAAGAGCACAUGUACAGGUGUUGUAUCUAACAUCAAUUCCAUAGUUCCUGUUCCCCAACUUAAUUUUCCCCAUUCCCCUCCAUUCCAUUUUGCUCCACAUUUUUUCAGAUUUUCACUUGUUAUUCUAAUCCUAGCUAUGGAUCGACCAAAUUCUUUAAUAAUCCAAUCUAAAUGUCUUCAAAUUGGACGCAGAUUUCACACAGUCUAAUGGACCAUUAUUUCCAUUAAAAUUUUCUUUAUUAUCUUCACUCCACAAUUUGUUGUUUUUCUCGUUCCACAUUAUUGUUUUCUCAAUUAUAUUUUUUUGCCCAUUUCUUUUCUCUCCUUCCUCUUUCUUUUUAUAAUACAUAAUGUAUUGUUAUUUUAAUCUCAUUUUCGCAUUAUUUCCAUAUGCAUACACUACAAAUAAUGCCACUUACACAAGUUCUCAUCUUUCUAUAUUAGUCAAUUGUUAAUAACAAGUGCAAUUCCAAAUUAGCGUUUUACGUGCAUCCAAUCCACCCACUGAGACUUUCAUUUUUUUUCUAUGCUUUCAACCUCUUCAACAAUCCAUCUACUUCAUCUCUGCAUGAUUUUCUUUUGCUCCAGUUUCUUCCAACCUGCGGGAUUUAUCGGCUCUGACUUGCAUUCUGAAUACCACUAAUCAACAUCAUGUGCAAAAAAAUAUAAAACUAAACAAAGCUUUUCAUUAUUUGUUCAUUAUUACUUUAAUUACCAUAAGUUAAUCUCAUUGUAUUUUUCAUUGCUACAGUACGAUCCAUUAUAUGCCGCUUGCAACAAAUAACAUGUUCAACAUGUACAUUUUUUUUGUCCCUCACAUAUUACUUGGUUCUACAUAUAGUUAUUCCAUAUUUACUAUUUUAUUGUUAUAUACACCAAUAUUUUCUUGGUUUCUUGGACAAUUAAUUGCAACAUUAACAGUUCCUGUCUAAUGACCAGCACUCCCGGUUUCCUUCAACUACCAGAUGACCACUUCACACCUGCAUGAUCUUGAUACUUUUCAUCUAACAGCCACUUUGCUAACCAACGGGCCUUUGGUCCAGUGGGAGAGCCCUUGCACUUAGAAUAAUGAGUGCAAGGGUUCGAGCCUCCAUAAAAGCAUUUAUGGGGCUUAUUUACAAUCCUUCCUCAAUUAUCACAUAAUUGAGUGGAGCCAGUCUAUUCCUCACGAAAUGUGAGUAGAGUGGACAGCCCUCGAAUAUUUGAGAGGGUUUGAAGAAUUUGGGCAGCGCUUCAGAGAAGUACAUGCCACGAUGAAGGUCCCAAUUGUAGAAUCUGUGUGUAAAUAUUAAUUAUAAUACCUACAGUCCUGUAUAAACAGUAUUAAAAAAAAAACAGCCACUUUGCUAGAUGACAAAACAAGGUGUACGGUACCCAAGGGGCACGGUAGACAUUGCUUGAUUAGAAAUCCUGUUUUUCUUAUUUUCGGACAUUAAGCAUAUUUGUUUAGUUUAAUGGUGUGUUUAUAUUUCGGAUUGAAAAAUUAAAAAUUUUAAAAUUAAAAUUAUUGACUGUAUUUACUUCACAAAAUGAAAAUAAGAAUGAGAAUCAUUUGAGUAAGACUCACAACAAAAUGGGAUUGGGGAAUUUCCAUUUGUGGGACCAACAUUUUUAAAUCCAAUUUUAUCUUCAAUUCAAAACACAAAAAAAAAAAACCACAAAAGUCAAAGCCAGCAACCAUUAUUGAUCAGAUUUAGCAGCCAUGUUCGACCCACGCUGAUCACCAAAUGCAGCAAAGCUAGUUGUUGCGCACACUGGUCGUUAGCCUCUUGUUAUUCGUCGCAACGAUGUUCGGACAAUGGUAGAAACAAGCACGGGUGUUGUAUAUAACCCGCAACUUUCAAUAACAAGAGCUUGUCGGUUGUCCAGCCACCACUCACGGCUUAGUCAAAAUUGUUUUUUUUUUUUAAUUUUUUUUAUCAUCAUUAUUAUUAUUUUUAUCAUUAUGUUAAUUUUUUUCAUUAUUAUUAUUAUUAUUAUUUUAUCAUCAUCAUUAUUGUUAUUGUUAUUUUUUUUAUUCUCAUGGUUAUUAUUAUUAUUAUAUUAACAAUUAAGGGUCUUCUAAUAAUUUGGAACAAUUCAUUCUAAUGUCAAAACACUGUAAACACAUCAAUACAAAAAUUAUACAUUUCUAUUCCUGUAGCUCAAAUAAAUAAUUUAUUUUUUUAUUUAUGUAAUUUAAAUAAAUAACUUAUUUUUAUUUUUAUUCUUCCUUCUUAUCCCAAUUUAUUCUUAUUCCAAUCGAUUCCAAGUGUGUAAGUUGAUUGAAAAUUAUACUUUAUGGAUAAAUACAUCGAUGAAAUUAUAUUUACAAAUUAAUAUACUUAUCUUGUAUAAUUUUAGGUGACGAACUUAUGUGGUAUGAAAUGAUUGGUUGGUUACAAGCAUCGACGGCUUUCACUUUUUAGUGAAUCCCUUCAUGCCACGUAAAGUGGGACAAGGGUUCUGAAUUGAUUGGGGCAGAAACAGGAAAUGACUUGUAACGAUUGUAAUAUAUAAGUGUUGUGAGGUAGAUGGAUUCUUUAACCAAAAGAAUGCUUGCGGAUUAAACAUCACUGUUUGCAGUUGCCAAAUUUAUCAUCCUCUACCUACAACUCAUGUGAUAGUGAUACAUAGCUACAGUUUAUCCUCUCUAUCUCUAUCGCAUUAACUUGAUUUCAAGAAUGUAAUACGCAAGUUGUAAUGUAACAUUUAUAUAGCAUUGACUCGUAUCAAUAUCCUCUUGAGGGAAGAAAAAAUAUUAAUAAACAAACAAACAAACAAACUUGUAUCAGUAACCUUUCAUUUCAAUCUCAGUGUUGGAUUCUAGCAUAUAACUAGUAGUUGACACAAAUAAUUGUCAUUAAACUGAUAACAACGUUUCUAAUUAUAUAUUAUCAUCGAAGAUUCAAGCAAAGAGUGCAUGAAAGUGCAAGGUAAUUAUAGCUAAUGGUUGACACAAAUAUAUAGCUGUCAUUAAACUAAAUGUCGGUAUUUAUCAAAUUAAAUUAUAGCUACCUUAGUACUAAAUAUGAGUUUAAUUAGAUGAGAUGAGAUUUGAUGUGCCUUAAAAAGCUUUGCCCUCGAGCAAUGCCCCUCUUUAGUAUACCAGAGGUUCUACGUCACGAUCUAACGAGCAACCACCAAUUAAUAAUAUUAAGACACAUGGUAAUAAAAAUUAAAAAAAAAUGGAAUAAACAAUACAUAUUCCCCUCUUUUUAUUAUCCCUAUAAAAUUUUUAAAGUACGAGACAAAACAUUAAAAUUGUCUCUCUCUCACGUAAUUAACUCCAUCUUAUUCUUUUUUUCUCUCUCUCACUCAAACCUUUCAUCUAUCAUCUUUUUAAAAAAGAUAUCGACUCUUUGACUGAUUAUGCAUAAUAUGUGAAAGAUUUUAGUAAUAUAGGUCCAGAAUUAAUUCUUUGUAAUUAUAGGAAGAGUUUUAACGGAUUUGCAAAAGACAAAAGUUCAAAUAAUGGCUGUCGGUGGGGGGUGAACAUAACUUUUUUUUUGGGUGAAUUGUUAAUUAAUUUAAUACCAAUUUUAAUUUGCCAUAAGAAUGAAACUAAGGGAAGUAAUACAACUUUUUGGUCAUUAUUUGAAGCUAUAUUAUCCUCGCUGUUGAUUUGGCUUCAAAACGAGCUGAAACUCUUAAAUGGUAUUUUUCCUUUGAUGAAUAGAUAGGCGAAGCAGCCAAUCUAUUUCAAUUAUUUAAAGCAAUGGGAGGCAUUGGAAAGUGAUGAAGUGAUUGGAAUAUUUGACACUGGAAUUUGAGAAAGUUUUAAUUAAAAUGGCAGCACUCAUGUUUCAAAAAUCAUCUUCUCUUCACCAUCAACAGAAAUCUUCUCCUUCGUAAUAACAAAAAUUAACUAUAAUCAUUUUCAUCAAUUUUUUUUUUAAAUUCUUCAUCACGUUUUAAAAAUGGCAGCCGGUGGAACAAAGAUGAAAGAUGAAGAUUUGGGUGAGAGAGAGAGAGAGAAUUAGACAGAGUUAAUUAAGGGUGAGAGAGAAAAAUUUAAUGCUUCGUCUGUUCAAAUUUUUGGUGGGAUAAACAAAAGUGGAUAAUAUGUAAUUUUGGAAGCCAGCUCCCGUAUUUAGAUAUUAUAAUCAAUGGUUUCAGUUUUUACGUUAAAUUGUAAGUUAUGAUUAUAUUAGAGUUGUUUUAAAAUAGAGCAUAAAUUAUAAUUAUAUAUGUAAAAUAAUAAAUAAUAAAUAAUUUAUUAUUAUUUUAAUUAUAUAAUAAUAAAAAAAUAUUCUAUCUUAAAAUAAUUUUAACAUAAUAAAUUCUAAAUUAUAAUACGAUACUUUUAAUGUACCGUAAAAUUUUUCCAUUUAAGGUCAUGUUGCAGCAGGCCAAGCAUCAACCCAACUCUUCAAUUUUUUAUUUAUGAAAAAUAGUAAAACCAAUUUAAUAUGUCAAAAUAUCGCUAUGACUUGUCAUUGGUAUUAAUGCCAAAAUUAAUGCUAUUGAUGGUAGACUCAGAAAUUAAAGUCUUCCGAAACUUGCUUUUCGUAAUUAAAGAGCCACUGCGAGUCCAGGCCAUGGAGUUAUUCGUUAAUGGUCAUGGCGAGUUUUACAAUCAAUAAUUUUUAAUGCUCGCAACUACCUCUAAAUUAUUAUUAAAAAAAAAAAGAGAGAGAAAAGGACUUAGUACUAAAAACUUUUAUAAGACUGUAAUCGCUAAUUGUUAAUUUUUUAUAAAAAUAAAUAUAUUUAAUUAAAUAUUAAUUAUAUACCGCUAUAGAUGCACAUGUUGCACGAGAUGUAUGUUAAAAAAUUUAACGAUUGACUUAAGUUCAAUAUUUAAAAGCUAAAUAAUUCAAUUAUUUCAUGGACAAUUAGACCUGUGAGAGCAUCAAUGAUGAGCGUCCUGACUUCAGCUCUCAACCAAACGUUUUGUUAUGGAUCAAGAUUUUCUUCUAAUUUAAUUUUUAUUUAAAUAAAUUUUAUUAAUAUAAUUAGUGAUUAAUAAAUUAAAAAAAUAAUUAAAUUAUAAUCAUUCACUAACAUUAAAACACAAGUGGCAUAAGAUCUAUAAAAAAUUAUAAGUGCUCAUAUUAAAAAAAGAUCCUGAUCUUUUGUUAUGAUGCUCAUAGUGUGCAACGGUACAUUGCAUCAUUUAUAUAUUUAAAAUUUUUGCGUUAUAAUUGUGAUCGUACUAGCUGAAGCUUCACUUUAGUAAAGUGAAAGUGAAGCUUCUCGCCACUUCAGCUGAACCUUAGUUUCCCGUAACUCCAUCAUUUGAAAUCAAUAGCAAACUUAGGGAAACGGUUUGUUUAAUCUCUAAAUUUUAAAUUAACUGUUGGUUUAAUUUUAAUAUUUUAAAAAUAUCUUAAAAUAUAAAUAUUAUUGAUUAUAUUACAUUUUUAUCUUUACUUUUAAUAAUAAUAUUUUUACAAUAAUUUUUUUUACAAAUACCAAAUUAACUUUAAAAGUAAAGUAAUCGUAAAAAAAAUUUACAUUAAUUUUUAUCUUCUUUUCUAUUUAAUUUGAUUAAUUAAUAUUUUUUUCUCUUUAUUAAUGCCCCAAGAUUAUUGCCAUGAUAUUUUUGUAAAAUAUAUAUUAAAAAAGGCACAAUUCUAAUCUGUGGGCUGUGGCAAUGAGGCUGCCAAAGUGCCAAGUCUCAAAUUUUGGUGCUGUACAUGUCGUCGGUUUUUGUUGGGUGUAAUAACAAAGCGGCAUUAAAUUCCUUUUCCACGUAGUCAUCAAUUCAUUCAAUUCAAUUUCUGGUCAAACUUCAAAAAUAAUUUAGCCCCCCUGGUCCAUAUUUGCAUAGUAAUAUAUAUUAAAAAAAAUUAUGUUUGUUUACUCCUAAGAAAAUUAUUGGAAUCAUUUAAAUCAUUUACAUUAUAGUGCAGUCUAAAUUUUUAUAUUCUCGAUGGAUAAUUUUUUCUGAAUUAUGUUUGUAAGGUGAUGAUACUACGAUUUAUAACCUAUCUUAGGACUCAAUUGGAGGGAAGUAAGCUGGUUUUGGUGGCUGUAAUGAUAUAUACUUGCAAAACUGGGUCAAGAACUAGCCAAAUUAGUUGUCCACAGGUCAAUGUCUCAGUAACCACAAUCCCAUUUUUGGCAAACUAAUUAACACUUCAGUGACUUGUCCCAAUGUAUAGUGGUUACAUGUCAUAAUCUGAAUUAAUUUUUCGUUGUUCAAUCACAAUCAUCAAUUUUUUCUUUGCUUUAAUUAAAAAUUUAAACAGUAGAAAAUGAUUUUUUUUUUUUUUCAUAUCAAUUUUUCGGUAAUCAAUCUAAUAGCGGAACCAAACCAUGCGGUGGGCUCGAAUAUUUAAACCAAAAAAUUAAUGGAAGGGCUUGUAUACUAGAGACUCCAGUCUAUAUAUGGUAAAGAAGCAGACUGAAUAUAACAGUCAACAGACACCCAGGUGUUUAAUUUGGACUCAAAACAGAACCAAGUACAUUGCAGUUCAGCCGCCCUCUCUCAUAUCCAUUUUCCAAAAAAGGAACCAAUUAAGUACAGUAAAUUAAAUUUAAAAAAAAUAUGGGGAGAAAUUGCCAUCCUUUGUUGAGUGGGAGGAGAAGCAAAGCGGAGAAACACAAUCAUGGCCUCAGUUCAGCUGAGUUGCUCUCAUUGGCUAGCCUAUGCGAGGUCUUUUUACCCACUUUGUCUUCUGUUUCUUCGGAGGGCAAAGAGGAUCGUCCUAGCCAGGCCCUGGAAUCUUUUUACAAGGCUUCUGGGGCACAGGCCCCAGUUCCUGAUAAGGUAAUUAAAUAUUCAACUUAAAAGAUUAGUUAGUUUUUAUUUUUUUAUUUUUAUCAUUUAGAAUAACGAGUCAAUGCUCGUUAAUCUGAAAUUGAUCAUAAACAUAUUAAUCCAAUAUCCAACUUAAAGAUUAGCUCUUUUUAAAAAAAAAAAAUUAUUCAGAAUAACGAGUGAUUGCUCGUUAACCUGAAAUUGAUCAUUAACAUGAAUUGGUUUGUUUGACUGGCAGGUGGCGGAGAUUGUGGUGAAGAGGCUACUGACUGAAGCUGUGAUAUUGAUCAGAGUGGUGUUGCUGAUGCUAUCCACAAAGCUGGGGACGUUGAUGCUUUGUGGGUCUCUUUGUUUAAGUGAGAAAUGGCCUUAUAUUAACAACUUUUCAAGCAUGUCAUUGGAGAAGAGGGAAAAGGUUUUGCAGAAAUGGUUCAAGAACUGGAUUUUUACUCCUGUUAGAAUUGCAUUUUUUAUCCUCAAAACUUUUUGCCUCUUCGUUUUCUUCUGUCAGGUAACUUCUUUCACUUGGAAAAUUUCUUUGCAUUUUUUUGUUAUUUUUGACAUAUACAUCUACAUGAGUACUUUUUUUUUUAAAAAAAAAAAAAAAAAACUUGUUGCAAUUCUAUAGAACCAUUUCAAUAUGAAAUUUGUGAGAUUUUAGAUACAUAUGCUUGCAGUUUAGCUUAGAUGUCAACCGAGCAUUGACUUAAAAAUCUAUUAUCACAAAUAAUUUUAGAGAAAUGUAUUUUUAAUCCAUAUUUAUAAUAAAGUAAUCUUUCAGUUACAUUUAAUAUAACUUACAAUCACUAAAAUAAUACAAAAAUAAGUAAUAAGCAAGUGGGUCAAGUGAGGCUAAUUUUAUAUUAAUUGUAACUUAAGGAGAGCCUUAUAAUAAAGGAAAUGAGAAGAACACGAGCAAUCAAUAAAUCAAUUAGGUCUUAUAAUUAGAAUUUGACACUAUGAGUGCGUUUAAAAUUGAGAUUGAACAGUUGUGUCUUAAAAGUUACCGCACUAAAACGUUUGAUAAACACUAACUGUUGUACCUUACAGCUAUGUUGAGAUAAUUUUCACUUAUAAGAUGAAAAAUCUAUUAUAUCUUUAAUAAUUUUAUCAAAAUUAUUAUUUAAAAUUUAUAUUUACUAUAUAUUAUUAAAUUUUGUUUCGUUGUUACAAUUUUUUUCUACAGCAUUUGUAGCUUAAAAGUUAUAGAUUCAGCUACAGCACCUUAAUCUCAAACAGAACUUAUAAACCACAAUUUAAUAUUUAAUUGCUGCGCUAUAGUGUUAGAUUCACAUUUUUCUAAAAAAAUGUGGUAUAUAUUAUAAAUUUUAAAAAUAUGUAUAAGUUUUGUGAUUAAUAUGUUUCAUUUAUUUUCUUGCCUAGGAAAGUGCCGUUUAGUAUUUUACAUAGUUUAAUAUUUAAUUGCUGCUCUAUAGUGUUAGAUUCACAUUUUUCUAAAAAAAUGUGGUAUAUAUUGUAAAUUUUAAAAAUAUGUAAAAUUUUUGUCAUUAAUAUGUUUCAUUUAUGUUCCUGCCUAGGAAAGUGCCGUUUAAUAUUUUACAUAUGAAAUAUUGAAAAUUAUAACAUUACUAUACCCACAAAUUAUUAUUCUAAAAUUUAACUUCAAACAUGCCGCAUCCGGACGAAAGGACAUAUUAUUUAGGAGUGAGUUUUGGAUAUGUUUUAUGAACUGUCGUAAAUUGUUAGCUUUAGCAAAUGUUUUUGAAAAUAAAUGGGUAGGUUAAAGACUUGAGAAUAUAAAAAAUGGCAAGUAAUAAAUAUGAUUUUAUCAUUUAAAAAUUUUCAAUAAAUUUAUAAAUCAACAAUUUUUUCGUAUUUAUUAUAAAGAUCACUUUCAUAAUUCAACAUAGUCCAAAUUAAGGGAAAAAUUAUACAGCCAGCCAUAACUUAGAAAUUUCCAAUCUCUUUGAUUCCGAGUUUUGAGUACUAUUUUAGGAUUCCUGAAAAAAUGGAAAAAUCAUUUUUAAUAAAAGAAUUCAUCCACGACCAAAAAGACUCUAUCAUGAUUCAUUGGUCACAUAUUAAUCACACGCAUUAAAGCAGUUGUUGUAGAUUGGAUAAAAAAUUUUGUGCCAACAAGCAAAUAUAUAUAUAUAUAUAUAUAUAUAAGGAAAACAGAUAAACAUAUUGAAGGAUAAAACAUCGUUAUCAUUUGUAAUUAGGUUGUUGAAUUAAUUUAUAUGUAGGAACCUUAAAUGAAUACUCAAACAAAUGAAUUGGAUAGAUACUAUCUUUGUCAUUGAAAUGGAAUGAACAGAUAGAGAGAAAUAAUAAAUUUACAACAUUUAAGGGUGAGGGGUGUCGGAAUCCCACAUAGCUUGAUUAGAACUCAAGAAUUUCGUUUAAGGACUUUUGAGUGGACUCAAAUCAAAAGCGAUCUAAUUAAGAUAAUAUAUGUUAUACCUAAAAGCAACCUAUUAUUACAAGAAGCUAUGAUGUUGAAAAAUUAAUAUUGUUUUGGUGCUUGCUUUGACCAAAAGAUUUGGGAUUAUAGAUUUUUUCUUUGAAUUCAAUUACAAUAGUUUUUGGGUACAAAAGUCAAGAAUUAAGGUAGAGAAAGAGAAAGAUCUUUAUUUGAUUUAUAUUUAUGAGAGGUGAUCAAGUGCGCACAAUCGCGCUCUAUAUCAAGUUCCUUAUAUUUAUUUCUUUGGUACAAUAUAGUUAGAGAGGCAAGAAGCUAAGCGAGUCAUAAAAGAAGCUUACUCUUAAUACAUGACAUACUAAGCAAUAAGAACACAACCGGUAUACAAUUAAAGUACAUUUGCAAUUCACAAAUUCGCCGUUCCUUCUGCAGCUUGAUGAAAAUGGAAAAAAUCCAGCAUGGGAAGCGAUUGAUUAUCAUGUAGAAAAUGAUGAGGAUGUGUCCGAGGUUCAACAGGAGAGGCCUCUAGAGAAGGGAAUAGUUGAAACAAUGUAUGAAACCGACUCAACCAUUGUACAGUCACUCACUCAGAAAGGCCUCCAAGUUACGAAAGAUUCUAAACAGAAUGUGUACAAAAUCAAAUGUGAUGUUGUAAUUGUUGGCUCUGGUUGUGGAGGUGGUGUUGCAGCAGCUGUUCUGGCUAGUGCUGGGCAGAAGGUUGUUGUAAUUGAGAAAGGGAACUACUUCACUCCUAAGGAUUAUUCUCUCCUUGAAGGUCCUUCAUUUGAGCAACUAUAUGAAUCUGGAGGGAUCCUUCCAACUACUGACGCGAGCAUGACGAUUCUGGCAGGAUCAACUGUUGGUGGCGGCUCAGCUGUCAACUGGUCGGCCUGCAUCAAGACACCCAAGUCCUUGCUUCAGGAAUGGGCAGGGGACUAUAAGCUCCCACUCUUUGGUAGCCCUGACUAUCUUUCGGCAA